Molecule: long non-coding RNA, 1132 nt
Organism: Cydia splendana
Lineage: Eukaryota; Metazoa; Arthropoda; Insecta; Lepidoptera; Tortricidae
Exons: 2
Source: RefSeq, a predicted model, not a curated record
AAAUGAUAUAAAAUUGUUCCUUGGCAUACGAAUUGAAAGAACCAAAGAUAAAAUAACUUUGGACCAAUCAACAUAUCUACAAAAUGUUUUAAACAAAUUUUCCAUGAGUGAUUGCAAUCCCUCAAAAUCACCUUUCCCAAAUAAAUUAAACUAUGACGCAUUGAAUAGUGAUGUACAAUACAAUGCACCCAGUAGACAAGUCAUAGGUUGCCUAAUGUACGCAAUGCUUUGCACGCGUCCUGAUUUGUGCGCGGCUGUUAAUAUUCUAAGCAGAUUUCAAAGUAAAGGCAAUGAGGAGUUAUGGAAAUGUUUAAAGCAUCUUUUAAGAUAUGUGAAGGGAACUUUAAAUCUUAAAUUGAGUUAUCAUAAAUGUGAUUAUAAACAGCUAAUGACUGGUUAUGCGGACUCUGAUUGGGGAGGCGAUGAAACUGAUAGAAAAAGUACAACAGGAUAUUUAUUUCAAAUGUUCGAUAAUUGUACAAUUUCGUGGUGCACACGUAAACAAAAUACAGUGGCCGUUUCCUCAACAGAAGCCGAAUAUAUGGGUCUAUUUGAAGCUGUAAAAGAGGCUAUAUGGAUAAAAUCGUUACUUAUUAGUGUAUACAUAAAAGUAACUAAGCCUAUACUUAUUUAUGAAGACAACAAUAGUUGCAUUAGCAUUGCUAAUAAUCCCACAAAUCACAAAAAGUCAAAGCAUAUUGAUAUAAAAUAUCAUUUUACCCGUGAACAAAUAAACAACAAUGUAAUAAUGCUAGAACAUAUUUCCACAGGAAACCAACUAGCAGAUAUGUUCACGAAGGCGAUUCCAAUGACAAAGUUUCAUGAAUUAAGAGUAAAAUUGAAUUUAAUUUGAUUCUAUUAUAAUUGCAUAAUAUAAAUGUAACAUGAUUGUAUAAACUAACAAUAUAAAAUGAUUAAAAUGCAAUGUUGAGCUUUUUGAUUAGAGUGUAUAUUAAAUGUAUAAAAUACUUGAAUUUUUGAGGGGGACUGUUGGUAUAUUACAAAAAUCCAAGUCUACCUUCCAUUUGUUCAUUCAUUGUAUAAAUACAUUCAUUCACUCAUUCAGUCAAUCUGUCAUUCGUUCAUAAUCAUUAUUCUUGAUUCACUUGAAUACAGAACGUUGAACAGUCAA